GGCCUGAUGGUCUAGAGGUAUGAUUCUCUCUUAGGGUUGUCGCAAGACGCUUUAUUGGGAGAGGUCCCGGGUUCAAUCCCCGGUUAGGCCC
Molecule: transfer RNA, 91 nt
Filed under: Rhodotorula toruloides
Lineage: Eukaryota; Fungi; Basidiomycota; Microbotryomycetes; Sporidiobolales; Sporidiobolaceae
Description: tRNA-Pro
Rfam family: tRNA
About the family: Transfer RNA (tRNA) molecules are approximately 80 nucleotides in length. Their secondary structure includes four short double-helical elements and three loops (D, anti-codon, and T loops). Further hydrogen bonds mediate the characteristic L-shaped molecular structure. tRNAs have two regions of fundamental functional importance: the anti-codon, which is responsible for specific mRNA codon recognition, and the 3' end, to which the tRNAs corresponding amino acid is attached (by aminoacyl-tRNA synthetases). tRNAs cope with the degeneracy of the genetic code in two manners: having more than one tRNA (with a specific anti-codon) for a particular amino acid; and 'wobble' base-pairing, i.e. permitting non-standard base-pairing at the 3rd anti-codon position.
Source: RNAcentral